CUCCAUCUUCAUCAAAUCACCAAAACACUUCUUCUCUUCUCCCUCAUAAGCGUCGGCCGAACACUCCCCUCACCACCACCAUUGUUUCAUUUCAAUUCCAUCCAAUCCAAGACCAUUUUAAGGUGCACAAGGGUGAUUAAGAAGGUGUGGAACUCUUGGAUCAUCAAGGACCUCCUUUGUUUGCUUUUAUCCACUUCAUCUUCACCAUUGUUCUUCCCUAGCUUGAAGAAGCUAGUAGUAGUCGUGAUUAGCUGCGGAGAUUUGAGUUGACGGUACAGAAGACACAUUACUGGAACUAGUGGAUCUGGCAGGGUAUGCAUGUGUCGACAAGCUGCGUAGUGAAAUAAAAGAUGUUAUCCAUGGUUGUUGAGUUUAGAGGGUGUAUCCUAAUCCUGGACGGGAUACAUGAUUCUAAACUCGGGUCUUAUUUAAGUACUUUUGUUGAGUCUUUAUGAACUUAUUUGAACAUGUCAUGGUUUGUAACUUAAUUUGGUAUUGAUGUUUUCAGACAAUGGUAUUGUGGUCUUUUUCUAAACUCUUUUAAUGGAUAAACAUCUCGUGUUUUUAUCA
This is a long non-coding RNA of Helianthus annuus (common sunflower), 570 nucleotides long. RefSeq lists it as uncharacterized. The record is from RefSeq and is a predicted model, not a curated record. Lineage: Eukaryota; Viridiplantae; Streptophyta; Magnoliopsida; Asterales; Asteraceae. The transcript is spliced from 3 exons.